GGGUUGUGAGGUUAAGCGACUAAGCGUACACGGUGGAUGCCCUGGCAGUCAGAGGCGAUGAAGGGCGUGCUAAUCUGCGAUAAGCGUCGGCGAGGUGAUAUGAACCUUUGACCCGGCGAUACCCGAAUGGGGAAACCCAGUGUGUUUCGACACACUAUCAUGUCAUGAAUACAUAGUGGCAUGAGGCGAACCGGGGGAACUGAAACAUCUAAGUACCCCGAGGAAAAGAAAUCAACCGAGAUUCCCCCAGUAGCGGCGAGCGAACGGGGAGGAGCCCAGAGUCUGAAUCAGCGCGUGUGUUAGUGGAAGCGUCUGGAAAGUCGCACGAUACAGGGUGAAAGUCCCGUACACAAAAAUGCACACGUUGUGAACUCGAAGAGUAGGGCGGGACACGUGGUAUCCUGUCUGAAUAUGGGGGGACCAUCCUCCAAGGCUAAAUACUCCUGACUGACCGAUAGUGAACCAGUACCGUGAGGGAAAGGCGAAAAGAAC
Molecule: ribosomal RNA, 492 nt
Filed under: Lelliottia sp. F153
Lineage: Bacteria; Pseudomonadati; Pseudomonadota; Gammaproteobacteria; Enterobacterales; Enterobacteriaceae
Description: bacterial LSU rRNA
Rfam family: Bacterial large subunit ribosomal RNA
Source: RNAcentral